UUUAAGGCACAGGGCUGGGGAUGAGGAAAUGCAGCUCCCUCCCGCCCCCCCCGGCUCUGUCAUGUUUCUCUAGGGGCAAGUCACUUAGCCUCUCUACAGUAAAAUUGGCUUCAUAAGUACCAGCCAAGCAUACUUUAAUCUGACUGCUGCAUAUAAGGCACUUUGGGAUUCUCAGAUGGAAGGUCUUACUGGAUGCAAAACACAUUACACCAUUUUUAAAUCACUCGCUUAGGUUUUACAGGCAGUAUCAAAGAACGGACAAAACAGAUGGUGCUGAGUAAACAGGUGUGUUCCCUGCAGAAGAUAGUACGGACGCGAUGGAUUCCAUGUGGUGUCUGGUGUAAAUGAGGACGAGGUUUGGACACUGAUCUGGAGUACCUGGUUUCCAGCCACCAGAAGCUGGGAACCAGGAACCUUCAGGCUCGACACCCAGGCGGUUAGGUCCGGUGGCCUUAGGAGGUAGCAGGCAUGCAGAGCUGGCCUGUGGGUGGAUCUGGUUGAUGGGCGGAGAUCUGAAAGUCCUCCAGCUUCUCCUCCAUGCCAUACUCCCACGUCCCUUCCAGAGCUGCUCUCCUCGCAUCGCAGGUACGCUGGGCAAGGGGGACGAAAUCUCUUUCGGGCUCUCAUUUGGAGCUUUUAAAACAUUUGGGCCAAAUGGGGAAACAAAAAUCAAGCCCUGUCUGCCCCAAAGGGAAGGCUAAAUGGUAAGCACACGCAGGGGGCAUGUUCCCCUGGAGGAAAGGUGAAAUCCCAAACCUGUUCCAGUGGCCAGAGGCACUGAGAUGUUGGCUGCCUGUGAUUCUGGUGCCAACCACAAGAGGGAGCCCUUGCACCAUUUAGCUUUGCAACACUGGCUCAUUCAUUCUCUGGGGGGAAACUCCAAACAAUCCCAGGGCUGGAAGAGACCUCAGGGUCAUGGAGUCCAGCCCCCUCCCC
Molecule: non-coding RNA, 936 nt
Organism: Pelodiscus sinensis (Chinese soft-shelled turtle)
Lineage: Eukaryota; Metazoa; Chordata; Testudines; Trionychidae
Source: RefSeq, a predicted model, not a curated record